Bombus pascuorum is the source of this 936-nucleotide long non-coding RNA. RefSeq lists it as uncharacterized. The transcript is spliced from 2 exons. The record is from RefSeq and is a predicted model, not a curated record. Lineage: Eukaryota; Metazoa; Arthropoda; Insecta; Hymenoptera; Apidae.
AAGUCAUGUCACACUUCUUAACAAAAUACCCAAGUUAGACGAAUAAAUCAGAAAAAAAAAAAAAUGUACAAAGUCUAACCAACAAUUCGUGGGGACGCGUACACUAACACGAUAAAAAUAUUGCAUGAUCGCGCAACACGAGUUAACUCAAUUUUUGCCGGUCAUCGAGUUUCAGUACACGAAUGAUGAAUGACAAACAACACUAAAAGAUAUGCCAUGUCCAUACCGUUGAACAGUUAACACACGAUGUGUCUCACGAUUUCUUUCCCUCUCACGUUUUCUUCUUCGACCAACUAAUCUGUCGUUCGACAACUCACCGGUCUAUCUCUCUGUAGUUUCCCUAUGUUUCUUUCGAUCACAGCGUCCUUUUCUGAUCGAAUUACUUCCCGUUAGGACUAAUUUCUCGUUCUCUCUGACAGAUAAACACUACGAAUGCGGCGGGUUCUCGCAGCGUGUGCGCCAGCGUCAGUAAGAUUGACAGUCGGCGCUGAUGACAGACAGUCGAUAGGCCAAGCAGUCUUCAUCAUCAUGCAAUUGUUUAUAUCGGUAAAGAGUGAGGAGACACUAUGCAAGGAAAGAUUAUUUCUUACUGAUGCCGGCGACGUGCGGAAAACGUGAGAUCCGUACGAAAUACGGAUAGAAAAAUAAUAAAUUUGAUAAAAUUUGAGACAUACGGAAGCUAUAAGAAAUACAAAAUAUGAUAAAUAUUGUAUUUUAUUAUAUUAUUUCCAUAAAGUUAACAGUUAUUCGAAAUAUCUCUGUUACAAAAGUUACUCCGUUAUGAAUGUUUAGAAGUAAAAUGUUGUGUUUAAUCGUGUUCCUCUAUCUAGUAUUAUGUAAAGUAUUUCUUAAUAUUAAUAAAUAUUCUUUUAUCUACCAAUUACAAUAAAAAAUCUCUUAUCUCUUCUUGUAAACAUGCAACUUGUAAUCUUUUUU